AGGCGAGCGUAUCCCGGAUUUACUGGGUGUAAAGCGCGUGCAGGCGGUCAUGUAAGUGGUGCGUGAAAGCGCCCGGCUCAACCGGGCGAGGCCGUGCCAAACUGCGUGACUGGAGGCAGGUAGAGGCGCGUGGAAUUCCGGGUGUAGUGGUGAAAUGCGUAGAUAUCCGGAGGAACACCAGUGGCGAAGGCGGCGCGCUGGGCCUGACCUGACGCUAAGACGCGAAAGCAUGGGGAGCGAACGGGAUUAGAAACCCCGGUAGUCCAUGCUGUAAACGCUGCAGACUAGGUGUUGCGUGCGACGAGUAUGCAGUGCCGAAGCCAACGUGAUAAGUCUGCCACCUGGGGACUACGGCCGCAAGGUUAAAACUCAAAGGAAUUGACGGGGGCCCGCACAAGCAGCGGAGCGUGUGGUUUAGUUCGAGGCUACACGAAGAACCUUACCUGGGCUUGACAUGGCGGUGGUAGGGAACCGAAAGGGGACCGACCUUCGGGAGCCGUCACAGGUGCUGCAUGGCUGUCGUCAGCUCGUGUCGUGAGAUGUUCGGUUAAGUCCGGUAACGAGCGCAACCCUCGCCGCUAGUUACAAGUGUCUAGCGGGACUGCCCGUUGAACGCGGGAGGAAGGUGGGGAUGACGUCAAGUCAGCAUGGCCUUUAUGUCCAGGGCUACACACACGCUACAAUGGCCGGUACAAUGGGUCGCCAACCCGCGAGGGGGAGCCAAUCCAUCAAAGCCGGUCUCAGUUCGGAUUGCAGGCUGCAACCCGCCUGCAUGAAGUCGGAGUUGCUAGUAACCGCAGGUCAGCUAUACUGCGGUGAAUACGUUCCCGGGCCUUGCA
Molecule: ribosomal RNA, 839 nt
Filed under: uncultured Chloroflexota bacterium
Lineage: Bacteria; Bacillati; Chloroflexota
Description: bacterial SSU rRNA
Rfam family: Bacterial small subunit ribosomal RNA
Source: RNAcentral